This 468-nucleotide ribosomal RNA is filed under the name uncultured bacterium. RNAcentral describes it as "partial 16S ribosomal RNA". It matches the Rfam family "Bacterial small subunit ribosomal RNA", at positions 28 to 507 of the family's 1533-position model. The record is from RNAcentral.
GACGAACGCUGGCGGCGUGCUUAACACAUGCAAGUCGAACGGAAAGGCCCUGCGUUUGUGGGGUGCUCGAGUGGCGAACGGGUGAGUAACACGUGAGUAACCUGCCCUUGACUUUGGGAUAACUUCAGGAAACUGGGGCUAAUACAGCAUAGGAGCUCCUGCUGCAUGGUGGGGGUUGGAAAGUUUCGGCGGUUGGGGAUGGACUCGCGGCUUCUCAGCUUGUUGGUGGGGUAGUGGCUGACCAAGGCUUUGACGGGUAGCCGGCCUGAGAGGGUGACCGGCCACAUUGGGACUGAGAUACGGCGCAGACUCCUACGGGAGGCAGUAGUGGGGAAUAUUGCACAGUGGGCGGAAGCCUGAGGCAGAAACGCCGCGUGCGUGAUGCCGGCCUUCGGGUUGUAAACCGAUUUCGCCUGUGACGAAGAGUUAGUGACGGUAAUGGGUAAAGAAGCACCGGCUAACUACGUG